RNAcentral lists this ribosomal RNA (891 nucleotides) under Klebsiella pneumoniae. Its description in RNAcentral is "bacterial SSU rRNA". It matches the Rfam family "Bacterial small subunit ribosomal RNA", at positions 275 to 1159 of the family's 1533-position model. The record is from RNAcentral. Lineage: Bacteria; Pseudomonadati; Pseudomonadota; Gammaproteobacteria; Enterobacterales; Enterobacteriaceae.
GACGAUCCCUAGCUGGUCUGAGAGGAUGACCAGCCACACUGGAACUGAGACACGGUCCAGACUCCUACGGGAGGCAGCAGUGGGGAAUAUUGCACAAUGGGCGCAAGCCUGAUGCAGCCAUGCCGCGUGUGUGAAGAAGGCCUUCGGGUUGUAAAGCACUUUCAGCGGGGAGGAAGGCGUUAAGGUUAAUAACCUUGGCGAUUGACGUUACCCGCAGAAGAAGCACCGGCUAACUCCGUGCCAGCAGCCGCGGUAAUACGGAGGGUGCAAGCGUUAAUCGGAAUUACUGGGCGUAAAGCGCACGCAGGCGGUCUGUCAAGUCGGAUGUGAAAUCCCCGGGCUCAACCUGGGAACUGCAUUCGAAACUGGCAGGCUAGAGUCUUGUAGAGGGGGGUAGAAUUCCAGGUGUAGCGGUGAAAUGCGUAGAGAUCUGGAGGAAUACCGGUGGCGAAGGCGGCCCCCUGGACAAAGACUGACGCUCAGGUGCGAAAGCGUGGGGAGCAAACAGGAUUAGAUACCCUGGUAGUCCACGCCGUAAACGAUGUCGAUUUGGAGGUUGUGCCCUUGAGGCGUGGCUUCCGGAGCUAACGCGUUAAAUCGACCGCCUGGGGAGUACGGCCGCAAGGUUAAAACUCAAAUGAAUUGACGGGGGCCCGCACAAGCGGUGGAGCAUGUGGUUUAAUUCGAUGCAACGCGAAGAACCUUACCUGGUCUUGACAUCCACAGAACUUUCCAGAGAUGGAUUGGUGCCUUCGGGAACUGUGAGACAGGUGCUGCAUGGCUGUCGUCAGCUCGUGUUGUGAAAUGUUGGGUUAAGUCCCGCAACGAGCGCAACCCUUAUCCUUUGUUGCCAGCGGUUAGGCCGGGAACUCAAAGGAGACUGCCAGUGAU